Molecule: ribosomal RNA, 252 nt
Filed under: uncultured bacterium
Lineage: Bacteria
Description: partial 16S ribosomal RNA
Rfam family: Bacterial small subunit ribosomal RNA
Source: RNAcentral
UACGUAGGGGGCUAGCGUUGUCCGGAAUCAUUGGGCGUAAAGCGCGCGUAGGCGGCCCAGUAAGUCCGUUGUAAAAGUCAAAGGCUCAACCUUUGAAAGCCGAUGGAUACUGCUGGGCUAGAGUCCGGAAGAGGCGAGUGGAAUUCCGGUGUAGCGGUGGAAUACGCAGAUAUCAGGAAGAACACCCGUGGCGAAGGCGGCUCUCUGGGACGGUACUGACGCUGAGACGCGAAAGCGUGGGGAGCGAACAGG